This 403-nucleotide ribosomal RNA is filed under the name uncultured bacterium. RNAcentral describes it as "bacterial SSU rRNA". It matches the Rfam family "Bacterial small subunit ribosomal RNA", at positions 119 to 507 of the family's 1533-position model. The record is from RNAcentral.
GGGCAAUCUGCCUGUCAGACUGGAAUAACAAUCCGGAAACGGGUAGCUAAUGCCGGAUAGGCAACGAGUAGGGCAUCUACUUGUUGAGAAAGCUGCUACGGCAGUACUGACAGAGGAGCCCGCGGCGCAUUAGCUAGUUGGUGGGGUAAUGGCUCACCAAGGCGACGAUGCGUAGCCGACCUGAGAGGGUGACCGGCCACACUGGGACUGAGACACGGCCCAGACUCCUACGGGAGGCAGCAGUAGGGAAUCUUCCGCAAUGGGCGCAAGCCUGACGGAGCAACGCCGCGUGAGCGAAGAAGGCCUUCGGGUUGUAAAGCUCAGUCAUUCGGGAAGAGCGGACAGGAGAGGGAAUGCUCCUGUCGAGACGGUACCGGAAGAGGAAGCCCCGGCUAACUACGUG